CAACCCUCAAGCAUUGCUUGGUAUUGGGCUCCGCUGCUCACCCAGCGGGCCUUAAAAUCAGUGGCGGUGCCGCCGGGCCCUGAGCGUAGUAAAUAUCCUCGCUAUAGGGACCCGGUGGACGCUGGCCAUCAACCCCCACUCUCUAAGU
Molecule: unclassified non-coding RNA, 148 nt
Filed under: uncultured Helotiales
Lineage: Eukaryota; Fungi; Ascomycota; Leotiomycetes; Helotiales
Description: sequence contains ITS2
Source: RNAcentral